Molecule: ribosomal RNA, 670 nt
Filed under: uncultured bacterium
Lineage: Bacteria
Description: bacterial SSU rRNA
Rfam family: Bacterial small subunit ribosomal RNA
Source: RNAcentral
CGAACGAGUAGAGAGCUUGCUCUUUUAAUAGUGGCGGACGGGUGAGUAACGCGUGAGUACCUGCCUUUCAGAGGGGAAUAACAUUCUGAAAAGAAUGCUAAUACCGCAUGAGAUCGCAUGGUCAAAGAGCAAUCGCUGAAAGAUGGACUCGCGUCCAAUUAGCUAGUUGGUGAGGUAACGGCCCACCAAGGCGACGAUUGGUAGCCGGACUGAGAGGUUGAACGGCCACAUUGGGACUGAGACACGGCCCAGACUCCUACGGGAGGCAGCAGUGGGGGAUAUUGCACAAUGGGGGAAACCCUGAUGCAGCGACGCCGCGUGGAGGAAGAAGGUUUUCGGAUUGUAAACUCCUGUCGUUAGGGACGAUAAUGACGGUACCUAACAAGAAAGCACCGGCUAACUACGUGCCAGCAGCCGCGGUAAAACGUAGGGUGCAAGCGUUGUCCGGAAUUACUGGGUGUAAAGGGAGCGCAGGCGGGAAGACAAGUUGGAAGUGAAAACCAUGGGCUCAACCCAUGAAUUGCUUUCAAAACUGUUUUUCUUGAGUAGUGCAGAGGUAGAUGGAAUUCCCGGUGUAGCGGUGGAAUGCGUAGAUAUCGGGAGGAACACCAGUGGCGAAGGCGGUCUACUGGGCACCAACUGACGCUGAGGCUCGAAAGCAUGGGUAGCA